Molecule: long non-coding RNA, 2240 nt
Organism: Gopherus flavomarginatus (Mexican gopher tortoise)
Lineage: Eukaryota; Metazoa; Chordata; Testudines; Testudinidae
Exons: 2
Source: RefSeq, a predicted model, not a curated record
UGGCCAGCCCCCUGGGUAUGUACUUGAACAGCUAGCCUGAGCUGUCACCUGUGCCACUACAGCCACGCUACUAUUUUUAGGUACUAGCUUGAGCAGAGCUAAUGUGUAUAUGUGUACCCAACCUCAGACUCAACACUUUCCAGCUACUGUGUAGACAUACCCUUGGUAUGUUUUUGAAGGUAAUCAUUAAUUGCCUUAAAUAAUGCUUUGAAUAACUAAAUUAACUUCAGUAUUUGUAGUAUUCUAGGUAUUACCUAUACAAAAAACGUAGGUAGUACUGCAAUUGCUGAGGGAAAUAUCUAUUUAAAGUAAAACUAAUAACUCUCUAAAAGUGUGACAACUGUAUACUUAAUUUGUGAUUAUUGAACAUCUAUACACACAGUGAUAGUACAUAGCAAAGGCUAGAUCCACAAAGGGAUCCAUGAGAGGUCUACUCCUUAAGGUAGUAGUGGUUAGGAAUCCGACCAUCCCCAUCACACGAUUUGAUCUUUUAAGAUUUUGGGUUGUCUGAUCUACAAAGAAUGAAGAGAUACUGGGAGAGAGGAAAUACUCCUGGGAAUAAGUAGUGGUUGGGAGAAAUCUCACUGUUAUCUCUUUAAGGGCCCGGGACACAGAUACAUACAGAGUGGUUGGGGCAAGAUUCCCCUGUCCCAACUAACAGGAAUGACCUUUAGGAAGGAACCAGCAUAUAUACUCAUGCAUCUGAUGAAGUGGGUAUUCACCCACGAAAGCUCAUGCUCCAAAAUGUGUGUUAGUCUAUAAGGUGCCACAGGAUUCUUUGCUGCUUUAACAUAUAUAAUGUCUCCUAUCUCAUAGUAGGGCAAACAUUGGCAGGAGAAGGUUGCCUGCAUGCAUGCUGGGGGGAUAUUUUGAGGAAAGGGUUCAAAUGAAGGAGAAGCUGGCGAAUCCCUUACCCCAGCUCCAAGGAGGAGAGCUGAGAGAAUACCUGUCUGAAGGAAGGAGAUACUGGAAGACGCAACUGGCCGAUACUGGGAGCCAGUGGGAGCCACGAUUGGCCAAACCUGCAGAUGCGGCAGGAAUGAUUGGGUUUUUCCUCUUUUAAUGAGUUUUGGAAUUUUUCCCCCAUGAUGGAGGUUUGGAAAGAAAUCACCUCUUCUCUAGAGGAGGGGUCGGCAACCUCUGGCAUGCGGCUUGCCAGGGUAAGCACCCUAACAGGCAGGACCAGUUUGUUUCCCUGCCACGUCAGCAGGUUCAGCUGAUGGCGGCUCCCACUGGCCGCAGUUCGCCAUCCCAGGCCAAUGGAGGUGGUGGGAAGCCACUGCCAGCACAUCCUUUGCCCACACCGCCGGCCCGCCCAAAGCAACACAAGCAACAUCAGAAGGUUGAUUUUCUUUUUUGGUGAUUUGGGUUCUAUAGUUUCCACAUCAGUGUUGCUCUUUAAAGACAUCUGAAAGCAUGUUCCAUACCUCAUCCCUCUCAGAUAUUGGAAGGCCAUUCAGAUUCUUAAAUUUUGGGUCGAGUACUGUAGUUAUCUUUCAGAAAUUUCACAUGGUGUCUUCAUUGAAUUUGUCAAAUUUGCAGUGAAAGUGUUCUUCAAAUGAACAACAUGUGUUGGAUCAUCAUCCGAGACUGCUAUAACAUGAAAUAUGUGGCAUAAUAUGGGUAAAACAGAGCAGGAGAUAUACAAUUCCCCCCAAGGAAUUCAGUCACAAAUUUAAUUAACACAUUCUUUUUUUUAAUGAGUGUCAUCAGUAUGGAAGCAUGUCCUCUGGAAUGAUGGCCGAAGCAUGAAGAGGCAUAUGAAUUUUUACCGUGUCUGUCAUAUAAAUAUCUUGCAAUGCCAGCUACAACAGUGUCAUACAAAUGCUUGUUCUCGCUUUCAGGUGACAUUGUAGUUAAGAAGUGGGCGUCAUUAUCUCCUGUAAAUGUAAACAAACCUGUUUCUCUUUGCAAUUGGAUGAACAGGAAGUAGGGCAGAGUCGACUUGUAGGUUCCAAAGUUUUGCAUUUUUUUUUUGAGUGCAGAUAUGUAACAAAAAACCGCACAUUUGUAAGUUGCACUUUCAUGAUAGUGAGAUUGUACUACAGUACUUGUAUUUGAUGAAAUGAAAAAUACUAUUUCUUUUGUUAAUCAUUUCUACAGUGCAAAUGUUUGUGAUAAAAAUAACAUAAAGUGAACAUUGUACACUUUGUAUUUUGUGUUGUAAUUGAAAUCAAUAUGUUUUAAAAUGUAGAAAAACAUCCAAAAAUGUUUAAUAAAUUUCACUUCACUUAAUUUCA